AUUCCAGCUCCAACAGCGUAUAUUUUAGUUGUUGCAGUUAAAAAGCUCGCAGUUGAAUUUCUGGUGGGAAGAUGCGGACGGCCUCAUGGCUUGUUCCAAGUCUUCCGGCCAUCCUUGGGUGGAGCUCGUCUGGCAUUAAGUUGUCGGGCGGGGGAUGCCCAUCGUUUACUGUGAAAAAAUUAAAGUGUUCAAAGCAGACUUAUGUCGUUGAAUAUAUUAGCAUGGAAUAAUAAGAUAGGACAGCAGUGCUAUUUUGUUGGUGUGCGCACCGUUGUAAUGAUGAAUAGGGACAGUUGUGGGUAUUUAUAUUCACUUGUAAGAGGUGAAAUUCUUAGAUUAAGGGAAGAUAAACUACUGCGAAAGCAUUUACCAAGGAUGUUUUCAUUA
Molecule: ribosomal RNA, 387 nt
Filed under: Chaetoceros sp.
Lineage: Eukaryota; Bacillariophyta; Thalassiosirophyceae; Chaetocerotales; Chaetocerotaceae
Description: partial small subunit ribosomal RNA
Rfam family: Eukaryotic small subunit ribosomal RNA
Source: RNAcentral